AUCGGAGAAGAACGAAAUGAAACAAAAAUCCAUCAUCACCAAUGAUUCCAAACCAAAAUAUCACUUCCAUGUACAACAGCGAAGCGAGAUUCAACAUUCAAUAUUCAAGAUUCCUAAGCACAAAAUCAAAACAACACGAAUCGAUCGAAUCUCCAAAAUCAAACAACAGCACCAGCAGUAGCAGCGAAACCAACUUGAAGAAGAAUCGAAUCGGAUCUACCUGGAAUAAGAAACGCGGAAUACAGAGGCGAACAGGCGAGAGAAGGCAACGCGGAAGCGAGGAUAAACUCUGAGCGUAUGAAUGGCGGUGUGACGGAGAAGAUCUUCUAGGGUUUCAACGAACAGACUGAGGCUUCGAAUCGGCGGCACAUAGAGCGUCAAUGGCACGGCCGAGAAAGCGACGGCGAAGAACAGCUGAAGCAUUGGAGCUUUGGUUGGCUGAGAGAUGAACAAGUGCG
RNAcentral lists this unclassified non-coding RNA (458 nucleotides) under Hevea brasiliensis (rubber tree). Lineage: Eukaryota; Viridiplantae; Streptophyta; Magnoliopsida; Malpighiales; Euphorbiaceae. The record is from RNAcentral.